This 77-nucleotide ribosomal RNA is filed under the name Streptococcus pyogenes. Its description in RNAcentral is "partial 16S ribosomal RNA". It matches the Rfam family "Bacterial small subunit ribosomal RNA", at positions 1 to 74 of the family's 1533-position model. The record is from RNAcentral. Lineage: Bacteria; Bacillati; Bacillota; Bacilli; Lactobacillales; Streptococcaceae.
CAAAUUAAAGAGAGUUUGAUCCUGGCUCAGGACGAACGCUGGCGGCGUGCCUAAUACAUGCAAGUAGAACGCUGAGA